This is a non-coding RNA of Chelonia mydas (Green sea turtle), 186 nucleotides long. Lineage: Eukaryota; Metazoa; Chordata; Testudines; Cheloniidae. The record is from Rfam.
UUAUUUUAACAUCCUCUUAACAAAAUUAUUAAAUCUAUUCUUGUCAGUUUAAUAUCUGCUAUGUCCUUUAUUUGAGGACUGUAUAUUAAAUUGAUUUUUGAAACAGGGGGAUAGAAGAGGAGCUUGCUCUGUCCACCCCAUGCAUUGACCUGGUAUUGCAGGGUCUCCUGGAAUGGUGCAUUUUUA